Molecule: ribosomal RNA, 470 nt
Filed under: Pseudoalteromonas sp. V5
Lineage: Bacteria; Pseudomonadati; Pseudomonadota; Gammaproteobacteria; Alteromonadales; Pseudoalteromonadaceae
Description: bacterial SSU rRNA
Rfam family: Bacterial small subunit ribosomal RNA
Source: RNAcentral
UAGAGUUUGAUCCUGGCUCAGAUUGAACGCUGGCGGCAGGCCUAACACAUGCAAGUCGAACGGUAACAUUUCUAGCUUGCUAGAAGAUGACGAGUGGCGGACGGGUGAGUAAUGCUUGGGAACUUGCCUUUGCGAGGGGGAUAACAGUUGGAAACGACUGCUAAUACCGCAUAAUGUCUUCGGACCAAACGGGGCUUAGGCUCCGGCGCAAAGAGAGGCCCAAGUGAGAUUAGCUAGUUGGUAAGGUAACGGCUUACCAAGGCGACGAUCUCUAGCUGUUCUGAGAGGAAGAUCAGCCACACUGGGACUGAGACACGGUCCAGACUCCUACGGGAGGCAGCAGUGGGGAAUAUUGCACAAUGGGGGAAACCCUGAUGCAGCCAUGCCGCGUGUGUGAAGAAGGCCUUCGGGUUGUAAAGCACUUUUCAGUUGUGAGGAAAAGUUAGUAGCUAAUACCUGCUAGCCGUGAC